This 490-nucleotide ribosomal RNA is filed under the name uncultured bacterium. RNAcentral describes it as "partial 16S ribosomal RNA". It matches the Rfam family "Bacterial small subunit ribosomal RNA", at positions 30 to 507 of the family's 1533-position model. The record is from RNAcentral.
AUUGAACGCUGGCGGCAUGCUUUACACAUGCAAGUCGGACGGCAGCACAGAGAAGCUUGCUUCUUGGGUGGCGAGUGGCGAACGGGUGAGUAAUAUAUCGGAACGUACCGAGUAAUGGGGGAUAACUAAUCGAAAGAUUAGCUAAUACCGCAUAUUCUCUGAGGAGGAAAGCAGGGGACCUUCGGGCCUUGCGUUAUUCGAGCGGCCGAUAUCUGUUUAGCUAGUUGGUGGGGUAAAGGCCUACCAAGGCGACGAUCAGUAGCGGGUCUGAGAGGAUGAUCCGCCACACUGGGACUGAGACACGGCCCAGACUCCUACGGGAGGCAGCAGUGGGGAAUUUUGGACAAUGGGCGCAAGCCUGAUCCAGCCAUGCCGCGUGUCUGAAGAAGGCCUUCGGGUUGUAAAGGACUUUUGUCAGGGAAGAAAAGGCUGUUGCUAAUAUCGACAGCUGAUGACGGUACCUGAAGAAUAAGCACCGGCUAACUACGUG